This 1720-nucleotide ribosomal RNA is filed under the name Staphylococcus aureus M0361. RNAcentral's name for it is "bacterial LSU rRNA". It matches the Rfam family "Bacterial large subunit ribosomal RNA", at positions 536 to 2259 of the family's 2925-position model. The record is from RNAcentral. Lineage: Bacteria; Bacillati; Bacillota; Bacilli; Caryophanales; Staphylococcaceae.
GAGUGAAAUAGAACCUGAAACCGUGUGCUUACAAGUAGUCAGAGCCCGUUAAUGGGUGAUGGCGUGCCUUUUGUAGAAUGAACCGGCGAGUUACGAUUUAAUAUAAGCUUAAGCAGUAAAUGUGGAGCCGUAGCGAAAGCGAGUCUGAAUAGGGCGUUUAGUAUUUGGUCGUAGACCCGAAACCAGGUGAUCUACCCUUGGUCAGGUUGAAGUUCAGGUAACACUGAAUGGAGGACCGAACCGACUUACGUUGAAAAGUGAGCGGAUGAACUGAGGGUAGCGGAGAAAUUCCAAUCGAACCUGGAGAUAGCUGGUUCUCUCCGAAAUAGCUUUAGGGCUAGCCUCAAGUGAUGAUUAUUGGAGGUAGAGCACUGUUUGGACGAGGGGCCCCUCUCGGGUUACCGAAUUCAGACAAACUCCGAAUGCCAAUUAAUUUAACUUGGGAGUCAGAACAUGGGUGAUAAGGUCCGUGUUCGAAAGGGAAACAGCCCAGACCACCAGCUAAGGUCCCAAAAUAUAUGUUAAGUGGAAAAGGAUGUGGCGUUGCCCAGACAACUAGGAUGUUGGCUUAGAAGCAGCCAUCAUUUAAAGAGUGCGUAAUAGCUCACUAGUCGAGUGACACUGCGCCGAAAAUGUACCGGGGCUAAACAUAUUACCGAAGCUGUGGAUUGUCCUUUGGACAAUGGUAGGAGAGCGUUCUAAGGGCGUUGAAGCAUGAUCGUAAGGACAUGUGGAGCGCUUAGAAGUGAGAAUGCCGGUGUGAGUAGCGAAAGACGGGUGAGAAUCCCGUCCACCGAUUGACUAAGGUUUCCAGAGGAAGGCUCGUCCGCUCUGGGUUAGUCGGGUCCUAAGCUGAGGCCGACAGGCGUAGGCGAUGGAUAACAGGUUGAUAUUCCUGUACCACCUAUAAUCGUUUUAAUCGAUGGGGGGACGCAGUAGGAUAGGCGAAGCGUGCGAUUGGAUUGCACGUCUAAGCAGUAAGGCUGAGUAUUAGGCAAAUCCGGUACUCGUUAAGGCUGAGCUGUGAUGGGGAGAAGACAUUGAGUCUUCGAGUCGUUGAUUUCACACUGCCGAGAAAAGCCUCUAGAUAGAAAAUAGGUGCCCGUACCGCAAACCGACACAGGUAGUCAAGAUGAGAAUUCUAAGGUGAGCGAGCGAACUCUCGUUAAGGAACUCGGCAAAAUGACCCCGUAACUUCGGGAGAAGGGGUGCUCUUUAGGGUUAACGCCCAGAAGAGCCGCAGUGAAUAGGCCCAAGCGACUGUUUAUCAAAAACACAGGUCUCUGCUAAACCGUAAGGUGAUGUAUAGGGGCUGACGCCUGCCCGGUGCUGGAAGGUUAAGAGGAGUGGUUAGCUUCUGCGAAGCUACGAAUCGAAGCCCCAGUAAACGGCGGCCGUAACUAUAACGGUCCUAAGGUAGCGAAAUUCCUUGUCGGGUAAGUUCCGACCCGCACGAAAGGCGUAACGAUUUGGGCACUGUCUCAACGAGAGACUCGGUGAAAUCAUAGUACCUGUGAAGAUGCAGGUUACCCGCGACAGGACGGAAAGACCCCGUGGAGCUUUACUGUAGCCUGAUAUUGAAAUUCGGCACAGCUUGUACAGGAUAGGUAGGAGCCUUUGAAACGUGAGCGCUAGCUUACGUGGAGGCGCUGGUGGGAUACUACCCUAGCUGUGUUGGCUUUCUAACCCGCACCACUUAUCGUGGUGGGAGACAGUGUCA